Molecule: ribosomal RNA, 484 nt
Filed under: uncultured bacterium
Lineage: Bacteria
Description: partial 16S ribosomal RNA
Rfam family: Bacterial small subunit ribosomal RNA
Source: RNAcentral
AUUGAACGCUGGCGGCAGGCCUAACACAUGCAAGUCGAGCGGAUGAAGGGAGCUUGCUCCUGGAUUCAGCGGCGGACGGGUGAGUAAUGCCUAGGAAUCUGCCUGGUAGUGGGGGAUAACGUCCGGAAACGGGCGCUAAUACCGCAUACGUCCUGAGGGAGAAAGUGGGGGAUCUUCGGACCUCACGCUAUCAGAUGAGCCUAGGUCGGAUUAGCUAGUUGGUGGGGUAAAGGCCUACCAAGGCGACGAUCCGUAACUGGUCUGAGAGGGUGAUCAGUCACACUGGAACUGAGACACGGUCCAGACUCCUACGGGAGGCAGCAGUGGGGAAUAUUGGACAAUGGGCGAAAGCCUGAUGCAGCCAUGCCGCGUGUGUGAAGAAGGUCUUCGGAUUGUAAAGCACUUUAAGUUGGGAGGAAGGGCAGUGAGUUAAUCCCUUGCUGUUUUGACGUUACCAACAGAAUAAGCACCGGCUAACUUCGUG